CCUGAGAAAUAGUCGUUCCUCUUGUUAGGAUGUGGAGAUUAAUCCCAAUUGGGCAUCAGGCAUCAGCCAAGUGCUCAAAAACUGUUGAGGCAGGAAACAUUGCAGUUUUUUAAUCAAAGUUCUGGCUGAGUCAGAGCGAUGUUCCAGGUUAGUUCAGCCUAACAUAAAUGUUUCGAUGAAAGCUGGGUAGCCUUUACCAUUUCUCCUUAAGUACAGAGUGCUUUAAUUAGAGGAAAGCAGAGCAACAGCUGCUGUGAAUCUGUUCUGCUGUUGAGUUGUCAAUGCAAAGGCUCAAUUUCGAGCACUUCUUACUAAGCUUUCAGUACCAUUCUGGAGUCUGAAUUUACUGGUAUCUAAUGGUGAGAUUUCAACACCAGACAAAGAAAAGCCAUGCUGGCCUUGAACUCAAGCCCUGUUCCUUGGGUGAGCAUUAGCUUCAGCUUUUUACUGGUAGGGUUUUCAGGUUAAUAACAUUUUCCCCCCUAAGGCAAUUGAGAACUUGAGACAGUUCAAAUCAUCCUUCCUGAACCUCUGGCUCUGUGAGGUUCUGUUUGAACCCCUGUGGCUCUUCCAGAUUGAUUCUAUACUUCUAUGUGGCAAAUAGGUUUUGAAUCUGAUCCACGGGGGUCCUGGAGUGCUCGACUGAGGAUUCUAAGACCACUUCAGGGCUCAGCAGCAGACGGUGCCAUGUGCCUGCCUCAGAACUGAGAAGCGAUUUUUACAUCCGUGCUUUCUGACUGACUAAGAGUUCACAGAGCUUUCCUACCGCUGAGAAGGCGAUUCCAUUGGUCUAAGAACCCAUCUCUGCACCUCUGCCUGGUUCCUCUGCAGUGGGAUGAAGUGGAAUGGAUUUGGGUUCAAAAUGACCUAGAUUCAAACCACAGCUCCAAUGCUUACUGGAUGUGUGACUCUGGUUAAGAUAAUCCCGCUUGAGCGAUGAAAAUGAUUGGUUCAUAAUGCUCCCUCAGUAGAGUCAAGGGCAAGCUGGGGAAACUGAAGCAAGGAGGGAUGAAGUGACUUAACCAAGGGCAUGUGAGCUCACGGUGGCAGAUCUGGGAUUGCAAAGCUCAGGAAUUGAAAAUGGCUGUUUCAUCAUUGGACAGGAAGAAGGAUGUUAUCAACGCAUUAGCAUCUCUACAGUCAAGCUGAAGUGUGAUUGACUCUGGGCAGUUUGAUCAAUCAAGGUGGUCAACAGGAAGUUAUUUCCUCAAAUAUCGACGUCCUAUGUUUGAAUUGACUACUCUAUAUGAACUCUGGCAGCCAUCUUGGACCAUGAGGUAACUUUAAGGAUGGAAACUAUGUACUAGCAAGAUAGAUCAGAAAUACAGGAGGAACCUGAGUCCCUGAUGACUCUGGAGCUGCCAUACCAGACCUGAACUGAUA
RNAcentral lists this long non-coding RNA (1383 nucleotides) under Equus caballus (horse). RNAcentral's name for it is "lncRNA (ENSECAG00000059687.1)". Lineage: Eukaryota; Metazoa; Chordata; Mammalia; Perissodactyla; Equidae. The record is from RNAcentral.